CAAACUCGCCUGCCACCCUCCCAGGCUUUCCUGUGCCUGAGCCACACACGCUGGCAGGGGGAGGAUGGAGCCACGUCUCCCUCACUGAAGGGAUCAGGUUACCAAGAGUUUUCAUUAGGGUCACAUCUCCAAAGAGCCCAGCACCCAGCACAGGAGGGGUGUCAGCAAACCUGGUCCCCAGGGUGCAAACCCCAGCCUCCAGAACACUCCAGAAAAACCCAGCCAGCCCCGUCUAUUCUGUCUCCCACACACACUGCAGCACAUAUCAUUUCCACCACAGCAAGGGGAGAGAUAUACAUCAAUGAUCCUCUUUCAUUUCUCUUGCUGAAAGCUGCUGGCUGCAGGAUCUGGCAGCCAGGGAGCUGUGCUACAGCUCCCAGAGCCGCUCCAAAGGGGAGCAUCAGCUCCACACACGGCCCCAUCCCUGCCCUCUGCCCUGUAGCAGACCAGCCUCAUUUCUAUAGCUCAUUAAAGUGGGAUAAAAGUAACCUUUAAAGGUUGCUUUCAUGUGAAACAAGUCUAAAACCAAACAAUGACUUGGCAAAGAGUGAAUUGGAUUUUUAAAAGCGAUGCGUUUUACUGGAAAUCUUAUUUCUUUCCUCUUUUUUUUUUUUUUUCUCCCUUUUUUCUUCUUUUGAGCCUGAUGGUGGAUUAUUUUUCCUUGACACAAUCCCGCCUCCGCUGUGAUAGAUGACGGCACAUUUAGCAGCGUUCAGCCAAAACUUUUUAUCUCCAUAUGGAAGAUGGAUGGACGAGGACUCUGAAGCCCUCAUCAAUUCCUUCAAGAACAAAAAAGCAUCCAGCCCAAACCCCCUCCCAGGUUUGUUUUAAAAUACACAGAGCACAUCCUAUAAAGCUCCUUCCAUCUGGCACCAUUUUUCAGUGUUUGUGAAGCCAAAGGCAACGUGCACUGCUGGAGACCUCCAGCCACCUCCCUGGAAAACACGAGGGAGCUGCAGCUUGGAUGGGCCAGCACUGCCUGCACCUUCCCUUCAGCCUGAGGAGAUGUUCCCAGCUCUCUGAGCAGGGGUCACACACAGCUCCUUGAGGGCAGAGGCUGGAAAAGCCAGAGAAGAGCUAAGUGGCUUUUAGGAAAAUAUAAAAAUAAAAAAUAAAAAUAGUAGGCA
RNAcentral lists this long non-coding RNA (1127 nucleotides) under Cyanistes caeruleus (blue tit). RNAcentral describes it as "lncRNA (ENSCCEG00000019119.1)". Lineage: Eukaryota; Metazoa; Chordata; Aves; Passeriformes; Paridae. The record is from RNAcentral.